Anguilla rostrata (American eel) is the source of this 2644-nucleotide long non-coding RNA. RefSeq lists it as uncharacterized. The record is from RefSeq and is a predicted model, not a curated record. Lineage: Eukaryota; Metazoa; Chordata; Actinopteri; Anguilliformes; Anguillidae. The transcript is spliced from 2 exons.
GUAGCACCGCCUAUUUGGCUACUUGACUACCCCAUUCUUUAGUGAGUUAAAGAGAACUCCAUUACUAUAGACAGGGGUUACCCCAAGGCAGUUGUCAAAUAAAUGACACAACAGAUUGAUGGAAAAAAUGCAAAUAUCGUUUUAUUAUUACAAAGUGAAAAGAGCAAUAAAUAGCAAUUCAUUAAACACGGACAGACUAAAUACGUUGUCAAGACUGGUACAAGCAAGUGGGCUGGCGGCCUACACUGCUAGCUCUAAGGAGAAAGCUAUAGUUCCCUUAGCGGUUACCACGGGUUUUAUACGCUAUGGAACUACAGCUUCCUCAUUACAGGUCUAUCCCCAACACCUGUAAACUGUCACCGUUUACCUGAUGCCACGGGUUACAUAUGAAAAAAGUAGCCUAUAAUUUAAGUAAGAAGAGAGGUUACGUCUGGGAUAUGUUUUUGUAGGAGAAGUGUACGUGUGGUACGCAGCCAAGUACAGAACCUAAAGAUAAGAUUCCCAAGGUUUUCAUCCACAAUUGUGGCGAGCCAGCCAGGAGGGCAGUACCCCGGGAGAGUGACCUGCUUCUGCCGACGGAUAGAGGACUUCUUGACAAAAACGCGCAAAAUAGUAAAAGGAGCUGAAUAACUCAUAAGACGGCAAUACAGCAAUGUGGUAUGAUAUAACAUCUCUGUCUGACACUGAAGACAUUGAUGACUACAUCUGCCAGAAGCAAGAACAAUGGCAGACACAGAUAGGAGAGCCCUGGAACACCAGUAGCGUAUCAAUGCUGAUCUUCACUGACCUGAUAAGAGAAGGACUGCCUAAAGAUGUCCAAAAAAAGCUCAACGACAUUGUAGACCUAGACGCCAAGCCAUGGGAAGAAAUAAGGGCCCAUAUUCUUCACUUUGUCAGGAGACAUAGAGACAGUGAGAAAGACAAGAAAGCCAGCAAGAUGCAGAAAAAACCGAUUGCUAAACAGUUAGCAGCCAUGGAAGAAAAAGACAAAGGUAAGGAAUCUACAGCAACUCUGGCAGCGGUGGUCAUGCAGACUCCGACGCCACAGCCCAUGGUGCCACAGCUGCCACACCAGAGGCAGCAACAGCCCCAAUACAAGGCACAGCGAUCUUGGAAACAGCAAUCUCAGCCGCCACUCGAGAUCUUUGUGGGAAAUGGAAGUCAACCGGGACAAUGGCGAGGGAAGAGAGGAGGCCCAGGAAGAAGCAGCGGCCCGUUCAGAGGCCCCGGAGGUGACCAAGGGGGAAAAGUUGAACCCAGAGUGUGCUGGGGAUGCCAACAACCAGGUCACCUGAGGCGCAACUGCCUCCAAAACCCCUGGCCAGAUCUAGCACCCCAAUAUGAAGGAUGGAACCAAAUCCCCGCCACAAUUCUGUUGGAAUGGUAGAAACCAGAUUCAGGAACAACCACAAGACCGAGGAUAUGGAGGACCUCACUGGGUGCCCCCGGGGCAGCAAAACCAAAGCUAAAGAUGGUGACUAGACCAGGGAGGACAGUCCAAAUAAUCAAGGACAAGAAGAAAAACAGAUGUUGUCGUAUUCCUCAGCUACCCCUGAACAAGAACCCCAAAUCCUUUUAACAAAAGGGGUAAACAAUGUAGUUUUCUGAUUGACACAGGAGCCACACGUUCAAGCAUCGGAAAAGAUGGUAGUCACCUCCCACUGACUGCACUCGGUGUGAAGACCAAGGGUUUUGCAGGAAUACCCCAAACUGUACCACUCACGCAACUCCAGUUGAUCUCUAUUGAUGGACUGAAAACUACAGCUCAACUGACGUAUACCCCAAGAACCCCAGUUAACCUACUGGGACGAGAUCUGCUAUGUAAAUUAAACACAACAAUCUCCUGCUCUGCUGAUGGUGUAGUAUGCUUCUUUCCUGGAAUAAGUCCCCAGAUGGUACUGUGUCAAGUGGAUGGCGACAAUGGAAAUUACUUAGUCUAUUGGCUGAAGGUACCGCCCGAACUUCAAUGUACUUAGACUUUUUGCUCAAAACGAGCAUACAAGCAUACGAGCAUAAUUACAAGCAGUCACCUUGUAAUUAUGGAAAUUUACAUGUUUAGAAGUGUACCACACAGAUAAUAAUGGUAAUGCAUGUUCACAUAAGUGAUUUAUUAUUCAUCACAUAUUUUAUGAACGAACACACAAAUUGAUCUUCACAAUCGCACUGUGUUUUACGAUUUUUUGUAAUAGGUUGGGAUUCCCUCCCAAGUGAAAGGUUUGAUCUAUGUCUAGAAGUAUGACUGAAACGUAGAAGUCUCAAGGGGGGAAUGUGGAAGAAUAUGCUGUUAAACCAGUGUUUUACAUUAUAUAUCCUAACAUAUAAGUGAUUAAAAAUGUAUUCUUUUAACAGUUUUCAUGUAUAAUGCCUAACUCCCAUUUUAUUACCUUUGCGUGAGAAGAGAACAUGCCCUUUAUUGAAGUGCAUAAAUCUCAAGCAUGAGAUAAUGACAUGUGCCUUGAAAUACUCUAUGCAAUUUUGUAAAGAUUUAGGAUGAUUCCAUGAACAGGAGAUAAACGUAUAAAAAGUGUGCAUUUUCUUUGUUAUGUUGAGUUCAUUGCGGUUUGUGGGGGUCCCCCGUCGGUCCGCACAUACUGUCUCUGUGCUCCUGCAGACUCUGCAAUAAAGCGCUUCUGGUUCGAACUUA